UAAACUUAAAAAACUCUUCGAUACUCGGUAACAAACCUCAUCGUAUCAGUGCCCUUUUUCCUAAAGAAAUGCAAUAAGACAAAAUGGGGAUCAAUAAACCCAGUUCAAACUCAAUUUACAGUCCACCAGGGGGAGAAUUUUAUGAAUAUUUGGCUAGAACAAGGAUUAUUUGGUUUCAAUUACUCAUAGACUUACAAUCUUAAACAAUUAAUUUACACUAUUUUGAACAAAAAGAAAACAAGAAAAGAAGCUAGGUUGAUUGCUUUGUUCUUGAAUCAAUACCUUCACAAUCCACAAAUAGCAUAGAUCAAAUCCAAUUCUAAUUACCCAAAAGCGUUUCCAGUAAAUCAAAUCAGCAGAUUCAAAGAUAAGAAAACUAAAAAAAAUCAAUUACUCAAAAUUGAAUUAAAACACAUUUCAAUAUCGGCUUCAUAAGAGGAAAAAGAAAAGAAUACCUGAGAGAAAACCAAGCUUGAUUCUUCCUCUUCUUUCUUAGAUUAGGAAAAAGAAGACCCCUAGAAUUUCUAGACGACUUUUUUGAGCCUUUAGGGAUUUGGAUUAAGUUCGGGAAAAUGGUGUCUUGUAUUAUAAAAAAAAUUCAAAAGUUUGUAUGGGCUGAGAGUGGCUGGCCCAAUUCAUAAGAGGUUUUAAUAUGACCUUAGUCCCUGUACUCUUCAGAGUUUUGAACUUUAGUCCCUUUACUUGUUUGAUUUGAAAAUUAAAAUCUUAUUUAUAACACUGGUAAUUAAUUUUCAUUAAAUUUUAAAAAUAAAAAUUUAAAAAUUAAAAGCCAACAUAUAUUCAAUAUAGUAGAAGUUAAUUAAUUGUGUUAGCGAUUGAAUUUUAAAUCUGGAAAAAUAAAGAAAUUAAAUUCUUGAAAAUUAAAGUAAAGUGAUUGGAUUUAAAAAAUCCGAAGAACACAAGGACUAAAUUAAAUACAUCUGUAGUGAUAUAAUCUUGACAAAGUUCAUAAAUCUCAUAAUCUAUUAGGAAUUUUUUUAAAAAUAUAUAAAACCAUAUAAAUUUGUAAUAUAUAGAGAAUCUAUUUGUUUUAAUAAACCUGUUGAAUCAAACAAAUCACACAUUCUCGAUUGAAUCGGUCUUACUUAACCUAAUGAAUUUUUAACACUCAUUUACAAUACAUAAGAAUUAUAUUUUGAUAUAAUUCAUAUGAAACGUUUAUACAUAAUAUAUUGAUUUAAUUCAAUUUUCACAAAUUGUUAAUUUCAACAUUAUGCCUUACAUAUUGCAUAUAUAGAUAAUUAUCCUUCUCAAAUAUAAAAAAAAAUGAAACCAAAAUUCCAUGUUAUACAUUAAACCUCGAAUCAAAUUUUUAUGUGCAUAAUUACAAUAAAUUGAAAUUUACGUAUCAAAUUAUUAUUUGUACGAAAAUUCAUGUAUAUUUUGAAAAUAAAAUAUUGUCAUCAUUGAAUCUAACCUCUGUUUCUUACUCUUUCUUAAUUUUCCAAUACCCUAGUUUAAUAGUAGCCUAGAUUUCAAUAAGUUUAGGUUCGGGUUUUGAUCAAUUCAAAUUUGAGCUCUUUUUUAAAGAUAGUCAUUUGUGUUUAGAUUGUUUUAGUUUCAAAUAGCUUCAAAUUUGGAUAGUUUUAAAUUUGCGUCAAUUCGGAAAGACAACGACGUGUCGAAAUAUAUGCGCUUGAAUCCGACCCAUCAAACAUGCCAUCAUUCCGAUAAGACUUGUUAACGUCCUCAAAAACUUCCGAUAGGUAGCUCUUCUUCGUGUCAAAUGCCACGUCCUUGCAUAUGUUGUUAAAGAAGUGAGCAAUUUAUCCCAUGAAGGUCGCGAACAUCAUUACGUGGUUCGUUAUGUGGUGGUAACAUUGCCCGAAAGCGACGCAAUUGAGGAAGAUAGAGCUCGUGAAAUUGUCGACGGUGAGGAGCAGGACUUGAAGCACGCUGUCCUUGAAUUUAACGUGUAAGAAGCGAUUGCUUUUCCACGACUUGAAUUGAAUCCAGGAUAGGUGAAGCAUUUUGGCCAAUGGGAUCUAUUGAAAGAAUGUCGAUGUUUCUUCUGUCGAACUAGAUCAAUUUUGAAACAUGUAAAUCAUCUUCAAACAUAAGUGAUAAACACUAAGACCUUUUUUGUUUAGGAACUUCAAUUCACUUAUCAUAUUGAGAUAUAUAUUCAUGUUUACCAAAGAUUAAACAACUCAAAAUCCAAAUCCAAAUCCAAAUUAUGCAAUAAUAAUCAUAAAAUAUCAUGUUGAAUCCUUGAGCUUCUUAUCAUUUAGCUUUCAAGAGAAUCCAAAACCAAACUAAAAAACAUAACCCCAAAGGGUAUCUUUUAAGAUCUCCAUUUGGCAUAAAAACCAAACAAUUAUUAGAGCAAACAAACAAGCAAUUUCAUGCUAUAAUGAAACCCAAAAAUGAAAAACAUGUCUUCUAACCAUGAGUGAGAGCUCUCAUUCCUUUUUUCCAAUCCCAUGAGACAUGUUAUAGAUCCCUCGUCCCUGAAAAAAAAAUAACAAGCACACAACAUAAGCUAUGGUUUCAUUGAUCUUUUAUUCGGCAAACAGGAGGUUUUAAAAUUGUUGUAAGAUAGUUUUACAAUUACGAAUGAAACUCACGAUUAAAAACAGGGAACUUGCUGCUAGAGCGGCGGGAAUGGCGACAGAUGUGAUCUUAUCGUAAGGACCUUUCAAGUAAGUGUGUUUAUGGAUGCCUUGAAAAUAUUUCUGAUACUCGAUAAGCUUUUCCCUAGGUCUGAAUGGUACCUCUGACAUCCUGCUGUCACAAAGUUAAACAUUCGGUUAUACAUCGAAUAAGAGAAUAAGAUUUUCCCAAAACUCCCUAAGCCUCAAUCCAACUUAUUCUCUUUCCCCAAAUCAGCACAUUCAAGCAUAGUAUCUAUAUUAAUCUAUUUUAACCAAUAAAACAAUUGAAUUUACAUUAACAAGCAGACAUCCAUAGUACUCGCAUCAACAAAAUACAAGAUAAAACAGCAGCGACCCGUCUUCCCCCCUAUUUUACAAAAGCUACAUUAAACAAGGGCAAACAAUACACUAUAGCAAGGUUUUAAGAACCAGACUGGUGGUCAAACCAGUCAGGACACUGGUUUGCCGGUUCAACCGGUCCGUACCAGUUCCCGGGUCAACUGGUUAAAUACCCUUCUCUGGACCAGUACCCCGGUCAGUCCAGUCUGCUUCAAACAACCUUGCAAUAUAGCCUAAAAGCCCCUACAAAGAAAUGUUUUCAUAUAUGCAUACAUUCUAACUCGAAUAAGCUUAAAAACCUCUUCAAUACUCGGUAACAAACCACAUUGUAUCAGUGCCCUUUUUCCUAAAGAAACGCAAUAAGAACAGACAAAAUGGGGAUCAAUAAACCUAGUUCAAACUCAAUUUACAGUGCACCAGGGGGAGAAUUUUAUGAAUAUUUUGCUAGAACAAGGAUGAUAUGGUUUCAAUUACUCAUGGAUUUACAAUCUUAAAAAAUUAAUUUACACUAUUUUGAACCAAAAAAAAAGAAAAGAAGCUAGGUUGAUUGCUUUGUUCUUGAAUCAAUACAUUCACAAGCCACGAAUACCAUAGACCGAAUCCAAUAAACCCAAUUCUAAUUACCAAAAAGAAACCCAAAAUCAGGGAAAG
This 3605-nucleotide long non-coding RNA is filed under the name Gossypium raimondii (Peruvian cotton). Its description in RNAcentral is "long non-coding RNA (GRAI_LNC002462)". The record is from RNAcentral. Lineage: Eukaryota; Viridiplantae; Streptophyta; Magnoliopsida; Malvales; Malvaceae.